Molecule: non-coding RNA, 91 nt
Filed under: uncultured Fretibacterium sp.
Lineage: Bacteria; Thermotogati; Synergistota; Synergistia; Synergistales; Aminobacteriaceae
Description: THF riboswitch
Rfam family: THF (Tetrahydrofolate) riboswitch aptamer
About the family: THF riboswitch presents a pseudoknot that joins P1-P2 and the loop of P3 and two THF binding.
Source: RNAcentral
CAGAGUAAGCUGUGUGCGUCAAGUGUCCACGGAUGGGAUGUCGCUGUGGAACGAAACGGGAGACCGUACGGUGCAUAGCUGCGUCCGCUGU